RNAcentral lists this ribosomal RNA (253 nucleotides) under uncultured bacterium. RNAcentral's name for it is "partial 16S ribosomal RNA". It matches the Rfam family "Bacterial small subunit ribosomal RNA", at positions 524 to 776 of the family's 1533-position model. The record is from RNAcentral.
UACGUAGGGUGCAAGCGUUAAUCGGAAUUACUGGGCGUAAAGCGUGCGCAGGCGGUUUUGUAAGACAGGCGUGAAAUCCCCGGGCUCAACCCGGGAAUUGCGCUUGUGACUGCAAAGCUGGAGUGCGGCAGAGGGGGAUGGAAUUCCGCGUGUAGCAGUGAAAUGCGUAGAUAUGCGGAGGAACACCAAUGGCGAAGGCAAUCCCCUGGGCCUGUACUGACGCUCAUGCACGAAAGCGUGGGGAGCAAACAGG